CAAGAAACACCUCCUCCCUCCUCCUCCCUCCUCCUCCAGUAGACUCCAGCCAGGGUCAAUUUCAAUGUGAAGUGUUAACAAAAGCCAACGUGUCAUCAGGGGCCCACAGAGGCAGCCUGUAGGUUUAACAGGAUUUCAGUCAUCAAGGCCUUUUGUUCCACACACGCACAACAAUCCCGGCCACUGUCCCCCAACCCCCACGCCGCCUCGCCUCCAUUACUGUAUACCCCGAGCACACUCACACACCAGGGGGAGAGCAGCAUUUGGCCCCCGCUGAUCCGUCCACUCCGAGCACCGCCUGGCAGACGAGCUGGUGCCUGAGUUCACCGAGGUUCAAGGCUUCGACCUGCAGCUUAUCAGUGUGAUUAGUGUGUGUGUGUGUGUGUGUGUGUGUGUGUGUGGGGAGGGGGGUUAACAGAAGAAUGGGCACAAUUCCACCACACCGCUGGUUUGUAUUUCUGACGUUGCAAGCUGAGAUAAUGUAGACACCCACUUGUUAAGAGGUAUGGUAACGCGUGUGUGAGCACAGAGCUCUCCCUCCUAAUGAAGAGCUCCCCUCACUUGCCGCCUCUCAGCCCGAAAAAACUCUCAGAAGUCACUUGAAAGUCUGCUGAAACGCGAGCGGCAAGGUCAGCCUUUGACUCGGUGUAAAACCUCGAAUGAUGAAACGGGUUAUCGGGAAACGGCCAAGAGGAAAGUGUCUGAGGAGCGGAGCGUGAGAGAGGUCACACCAUCAGGACGCGUUUCAUUUUAAAGGAGCGAUAUGUAGUUUAAGGAAAGACAUUUUAAUCAGGAGAGAAAGAUCUUCGCUGAGCGUGAGGAGCUGUCUUUGUUUGACUGACUGAAUAAACAAACUGACCUUAAAGAACGA
Molecule: long non-coding RNA, 871 nt
Organism: Acanthopagrus latus (yellowfin seabream)
Lineage: Eukaryota; Metazoa; Chordata; Actinopteri; Spariformes; Sparidae
Exons: 2
Source: RefSeq, a predicted model, not a curated record